Molecule: ribosomal RNA, 506 nt
Filed under: Ulocladium sp. nwa_sqmc_254d
Lineage: Eukaryota; Fungi; Ascomycota; Dothideomycetes; Pleosporales; Pleosporaceae
Description: eukaryotic LSU rRNA
Rfam family: 5.8S ribosomal RNA (bases 140-293)
Source: RNAcentral
UCGGGGUUACAGCCUUGCUGAAUUAUUCACCCGUGUCUUUUGCGUACUUCUUGUUUCCUUGGUGGGUUCGCCCACCAUAGGACAAACCAUAAACCUUUUGUAAUUGCAAUCAGCGUCAGUAAAAAAAAUUAAUAAUUACAACUUUUAACAACGGAUCUCUUGGUUCUGGCAUCGAUGAAGAACGCAGCGAAAUGCGAUAAGUAGUGUGAAUUGCAGAAUUCAGUGAAUCAUCGAAUCUUUGAACGCACAUUGCGCCCUUUGGUAUUCCAAAGGGCAUGCCUGUUCGAGCGUCAUUUGUACCCUCAAGCUUUGCUUGGUGUUGGGCGUCUUGUCUCCAGUUCGCUGGAGACUCGCCUUAAAGUAAUUGGCAGCCGGCCUACUGGUUUCGGAGCGCAGCACAAGUCGCGCUCUCUUCCAGCCAAGGUCAGCAUCCACAAAGCCUUUUUUCAACUUUUGACCUCGGAUCAGGUAGGGAUACCCGCUGAACUUAAGCAUAUCAAUAGCCG